CAGUCGCCACGGGAAUACGAAGGGUGCAAGCGUUAAUCGGAAUUACUGGGCGUAAAGCGCACGCAGGCGGUUUGUUAAGUCAGAUGUGAAAUCCCCGAGCUUAACUUGGGAACUGCAUUUGAAACUGGCAAGCUAGAGUCUUGUAGAGGGGGGUAGAAUUCCAGGUGUAGCGGUGAAAUGCGUAGAGAUCUGGAGGAAUACCGGUGGCGAAGGCGGCCCCCUGGACAAAGACUGACGCUCAGGUGCGAAAGCGUGGGGAGCAAACAGGAUUAGAGACCCCGGUAGUCCCUGUCUCUUAUAC
This 301-nucleotide ribosomal RNA is filed under the name uncultured bacterium. Its description in RNAcentral is "partial 16S ribosomal RNA". It matches the Rfam family "Bacterial small subunit ribosomal RNA", at positions 509 to 807 of the family's 1533-position model. The record is from RNAcentral.